Molecule: ribosomal RNA, 414 nt
Filed under: uncultured microorganism
Description: bacterial SSU rRNA
Rfam family: Archaeal small subunit ribosomal RNA
Source: RNAcentral
CAGCAGCCGCGGUAAUACCGGCGGCCCGAGUGGCGGUCACUAUUAUUGGGCUUAAAGCGUCCGUAGCCGGGUUGGGAAGUCCUCCGGGAAAUCUGGCCGCUUAACGGUCAGAAUGCCGGAGGAUACUCCCAGCCUAGGGAGCGGGAGAGGCCGAGGGGAUUCCCGGAGUAGGGGUGAAAUCCUAUAAUCCCGGGAGGACCACCUGUGGCGAAGGCGCUCGGCUGGAACGCGUCCGACGGGGAGGGACGAAGGCCAGGGGAGCAAACCGGAUUAGAUACCCGGGUAGUCCUGGCGGUAAACGAUGCGGACUUUGUGUCGGACAAGCUAUGAGCUUGUCCGGUGCCGGAGGGAAACCGUUAAGUCCGCCGCCUGGGGAGUACGGCCGCAAGGCUGAAACUUAAAGGAAUUGGCGGG